CGGGGCCUACGGGGGGCAGCAGUGGGGAAUAUUGGGCAAUGGGCGCGAGCCUGAACCAGCCAAGUCGCGUGAGGGAUGAAGGAUCUAUGGUUCGUAAACCUCUUUUAUAAGGGUAUAAAGCGCGGGACGCGUCCCGCUUCGCAUGUACCUUAUGAAUAAGGAUCGGCUAACUCCGUGCCAGCAGCCGCGGUAAUACGGAGGAUCCGAGCGUUAUCCGGAUUUAUUGGGUUUAAAGGGUGCGUAGGCGGCCUUUUAAGUCAGCGGUGAAAGUCUGUGGCUCAACCAUAGAAUAGCCGUUGAAACUG
Molecule: ribosomal RNA, 305 nt
Filed under: uncultured bacterium
Lineage: Bacteria
Description: bacterial SSU rRNA
Rfam family: Bacterial small subunit ribosomal RNA
Source: RNAcentral